RNAcentral lists this ribosomal RNA (378 nucleotides) under uncultured eukaryote. RNAcentral describes it as "partial 18S ribosomal RNA". It matches the Rfam family "Eukaryotic small subunit ribosomal RNA", at positions 592 to 976 of the family's 1831-position model. The record is from RNAcentral.
CAAUAGCGUAUAUUUAAGUUGUUGCAGUUAAAAAGCUCGUAGUUGGAUUUCGGGUGGGACGCAGCGGUCUCGCAUUGCGUUUGUACUGCUGCAGCCCUCCUUCUUGCCGGGGGCGGCCUUUUGGGCUUCACUGUCUGAGGGUCAGAAUCGGCGAUGUUACUUUGAGUAAAUUAGAGUGUUCAAAGCAAGCUUACGCUCUGAAUAUAAUAGCAUGGGAUAACACGACAGGACUCUGGCCUAUCGUGUUGGUCUAUAGGACCAGAGUAAUGAUUAAGAGGGACAGUCGGGGGCAUUCGUAUUCCGUUGUCAGAGGUGAAAUUCUUGGAUUUACGGAAGACGAACAUCUGCGAAAGCAUUUGCCAAGGAUGUUUUCAUUGA